AAGAACAGAUAUAUCAGCCAGCAGGCCUAGAGCGCAGUUCUGCGCUCUUUUCCGCCUACGUCUGUGACGCGAAAGCUGCAGUUUAGGUUUUUUUCGGUCUUAUUCGGCGCAGCGAAUGAGCCGGCCCAAUGUGAAGUGCUCUGCCGUGGGGAGUCGCAACCUCAACAGCACGUCUGUAGAACGUAACACAUUGCGGAGCGAUGGCAAGUUGUCACUGGAGAACAUUAUGCUGCAGUUUCUUUGUGGUGAACAGCUUAGGCUCGAGUACGCCAUGGAAAUUGUUCAACAGGCUGCGCUUGUCCUUCGAACGGAACCAAACACGCUUUCGAUUAACGACACUGUAGUUGUCGUCGGAGAUAUUCAGGGCCAAUACUACGAUUUGGUGAAGAUUUUAGCGGCUUGUGGCUCCUUGGACACGACGAAGUACCUUUUUCUAGGCAACUACAUCGGCAAUGGAGGAUUCAACCUGGAGUGUAUUCUUUUCCUGCUGGCGGCGAAAGUCGCUCACCCGCAUUCAAUUUUUUUGAUCCGAGGAAGCAAUGAAUCUAAAUUUAUGGCAGACGUUCUUCAACUCGGCAAGGAGUGCCAGCUCAAAUACUCUAGCACUUUGUUGCCGCAGAUACUGUCGGCGUUCAACUGUUUGCCACUAGCGGCAAUAAUCCGAAAAAAGUUUUUCUGCGUUCACUCGGGACUCUCCCCAGACGUGUCACAUGUAGACGACAUUGCACUGAUUCACCGCUUCCGGCACAUUCCAACGCGAGGGGCGAUGUGUGAUAUGGUGUGGUCUGAGCCGGAUUGGGACACCAACAAUCAGCUGUACAACAAUGUUGAGGAGCCUUCGGGCGAGACAUAUGUUCCACGACUCGGUUUGUUCGAGACACGACCACUCUUCAUCACGAACAAGCAACGGGGUCUCAGCUACGUGUUCAACUUUGCGUGUGCAAAACGUUUUGUAUCGGCGAACAACCUUCUCUGUAUCAUUCGAGCUCACGAGGUUCAUGAGCUUGGGUUUAAACUGUAUCGCCCGCACCCAAACCACCUGUUCCCUUGCAUAAUUUCUCUCUUUUCGGCUCCAAAUUACUGUUCCAGUUUCGGCAACAAAGGCGCAGUUUUAGUGGUUUCAAAGGAAACUAUCUGCUUCAAGCAGUUCGAGCCUUCGCCUCAUCCAUGCGUACUGCAAGGUCGAAACGCAUUUUCGUGGUCUCUACCUUUCUUGGAGAGCAACCUCAUGUCCAUUUUCCUGACCCUCUUGUCAGGCUCCGAUUAUGACCCAACGAUUGCUGACAGAUCUGAAAAGGGCUCCAGCAACGGAGAGGGAGGUGUCACGCCACUCAUUUGAAGCAUUAAUGAUGAUGGCACACUUCUUGGCGCAAAGGGACGCGCUUGCGCAUGUAGUGGAUCUUCGAGCCCCCGCCUCAUACGCAACAGCGGCCAUUUACCCCUCUUGCUUUUUGCUGCGCAUUUCUGUAAUGGCCACAUCCUGGUUCUUUCUUGCUUUCUCUUCCUUCUUUUGGUGUCGCUUUUGCCCUCUCAAAUGCAGACCACGAAACACGACUGGGCUCUCUUCAAGUUCUUGGAGCACGAAGGAGCAACUUGUGCACGGCAUCUGAUCGGCGUGUGCCCCAUUCAUCAAGUCAUCUCAACCGAUAUGGUGUGAGUAGAGCGGCCAGCGAAGCCACCUUAUUCUAAGGCAGUCGACACCCAAGAAGAGGAGUC
RNAcentral lists this unclassified non-coding RNA (1716 nucleotides) under Leishmania donovani. Its description in RNAcentral is "gene:LdHU3.36.2710(CDS-product:serine/threonine_p rotein_phosphatase_2B_catalytic_subunit_A2_putative)". The record is from RNAcentral. Lineage: Eukaryota; Euglenozoa; Kinetoplastea; Trypanosomatida; Trypanosomatidae.